Molecule: transfer RNA, 73 nt
Filed under: Tepidimonas ignava
Lineage: Bacteria; Pseudomonadati; Pseudomonadota; Betaproteobacteria; Burkholderiales
Description: tRNA-Lys
Rfam family: tRNA
About the family: Transfer RNA (tRNA) molecules are approximately 80 nucleotides in length. Their secondary structure includes four short double-helical elements and three loops (D, anti-codon, and T loops).
Source: RNAcentral
GGGAAUGGGGCGGAAUAGGGGUUGAAGCGGACUCUUAAUCCGUAGGUCGUAGGUUCGAAUCCUACAGGACCCA